RNAcentral lists this ribosomal RNA (637 nucleotides) under Janthinobacterium lividum. RNAcentral describes it as "bacterial SSU rRNA". It matches the Rfam family "Bacterial small subunit ribosomal RNA", at positions 62 to 694 of the family's 1533-position model. The record is from RNAcentral. Lineage: Bacteria; Pseudomonadati; Pseudomonadota; Betaproteobacteria; Burkholderiales; Oxalobacteraceae.
UCGAACGGCAGCACGGAGCUUGCUCUGGUGGCGAGUGGCGAACGGGUGAGUAAUAUAUCGGAACGUACCCUGGAGUGGGGGAUAACGUAGCGAAAGUUACGCUAAUACCGCAUACGAUCUACGGAUGAAAGUGGGGGAUCGCAAGACCUCAUGCUCGUGGAGCGGCCGAUAUCUGAUUAGCUAGUUGGUAGGGUAAAAGCCUACCAAGGCAUCGAUCAGUAGCUGGUCUGAGAGGACGACCAGCCACACUGGAACUGAGACACGGUCCAGACUCCUACGGGAGGCAGCAGUGGGGAAUUUUGGACAAUGGGCGCAAGCCUGAUCCAGCAAUGCCGCGUGAGUGAAAAAGGCCUUCGGGUUGUAAAGCUCUUUUGUCAGGGAAGAAACGGUGAGAGCUAAUAUCUCUUGCUAAUGACGGUACCUGAAAAAUAAGCACCGGCUAACUACGUGCCAGCAGCCGCGGUAAUACGUAGGGUGCAAGCGUUAAUCGGAAUUACUGGGCGUAAAGCGUGCGCAGGCGGUUUUGUAAGUCUGAUGUGAAAUCCCCGGGCUCAACCUGGGAAUUGCAUUGGAGACUGCAGGCUAGAAUCUGGCAGAGGGGGGUAGAAUUCCACGUGUAGCACUGAAAAUGCGUAAA